GUGGGGAAUAUUGGGCAAUGGGCGCAAGCCUGACCCAGCAACGCCGCGUGAGUGAUGAAGGUCUUCGGAUUGUAAAGCUCUGUUAAUCGGGACGAAAGAGCCUAGUGUGAAUAAUGCUAGGAAGUGACGGUACCGGAAUAGAAAGCCACGGCUAACUCCGUGCCAGCAGCCGCGGUAAUACGGAGGGGGCUAGCGUUGUUCGGAAUUACUGGGCGUAAAGCGUACGUAGGCGGAUGCGCAAGUUGGGGGUGAAAUCCCGGGGCUUAACCUCGGAAUUGCCCUCAAAACUGUGUGUCUUGAGGCCGAGAGAGGUAAGGGGAAUUCCUAGUGUAGAGGUGAAAUUCGUAGAUAUUAGGAAGAACACCAGUGGCGAAGGCGCCUUACUGGCUCGGUACUGACGCUGAGGUACGAAAGCGUGGGGAGCAAACAGGAUUAGAAACCCCAGUAGUCC
Molecule: ribosomal RNA, 451 nt
Filed under: uncultured bacterium
Lineage: Bacteria
Description: partial 16S ribosomal RNA
Rfam family: Bacterial small subunit ribosomal RNA
Source: RNAcentral